AAAGUACCGCCCGAGCAUGCUCUUGAUGAGUGUAUUACAGUUCCAGUAAAAGGUACAGUCGAUGAUCUCUAUUAUGGACAAGACGGCGAUAAAUUCCGGAAGCCAGCUGCUGAACACCCGUACUUUCUUGAUCACGGAAGGUAUCAUGACCAUCUGACAUAUGACAUUCCUGAGGGUGGAUGCAAACUCUUUACAAAUGUCCGAAGAUUGACGUGGGGGGUUGUCGCUGGAACUGGUGGAACCGAUGACGCUGGUCCAGUGGCUGGACAUGGUGGACCAAGUGGACCUAAUGAUGCUGGUGGUGAUGGACAUCCAGAACGACAACCACUUCACAUUUACGAGAUGAAAGGGUGGGGUAAC
This is a long non-coding RNA of Sycon ciliatum, 360 nucleotides long. RefSeq lists it as uncharacterized. Lineage: Eukaryota; Metazoa; Porifera; Calcarea; Leucosolenida; Sycettidae. The transcript is spliced from 6 exons. The record is from RefSeq and is a predicted model, not a curated record.